AAAAUGUUAAUUGGUUGUGCAAAACUUGUUAAUAUAUUUCACACAAUUAUUUGUAAAUUUGUAGUUGUAAUUUUGCAAUUUCAAUGUAUUCACAUAUCAUUCGAAUGAAACGUUGAAUGUUAUAUGCUAUGAAAUUUGUACAUAUUCUGAAUUUCAUUGAAAGCUAUUGUUUGUUGUAGUUUUCUGAACCUCAUCAGCUCAUCAGCAACUUUACUCUUCAAGUGAACGCAAUAAUAUUCAUCAAGUCCUCAGCAGCAGCCACUUAUUAUGAACUGUAAUUCCUUAAAUAUCAAUACAUUAAACACUGUUGCUGCGAGUAUCAGUUUUUGUGUUCCGCAGUAACAGUGUAUUUAUUGUGUAUAUGUAGUUUCUGAGACUCUUAAAGAGUUUGAAGUAACCAGUUCAAGUGAGAUCUGAGAGAAGAGGAAUGACUGACAUGAUGAACUGACAGAGGAAAAUGGUGACUUACAGUUUGAGUGAAAAUGUUGACUGAAUACUGCUUGAAGGAAGUAUGUGCAUAUGUCUUCCUGUUUGGGGCUGACUUUAAUCUGUCUUUAUGUUAUUGACAACCUUGCUGUCAGAACAUUAGAUGACUUAAUAAAGAGAAUGUUAGCAAAGAUA
This is a long non-coding RNA of Haliotis rubra (blacklip abalone), 621 nucleotides long. RefSeq lists it as uncharacterized. The record is from RefSeq and is a predicted model, not a curated record. The transcript is spliced from 2 exons. NCBI's taxonomy places the organism in Eukaryota, Metazoa, Mollusca, Gastropoda, Lepetellida, Haliotidae.